CCGGACCGGCGCACGGGUGAGUAACGCGUAUGCAACUUACCUAUCAGAGGGGAUAACCCGGCGAAAGUCGGACUAAUACCGCAUGAAGCAGGGGCCCCGCAUGGGGAUAUUUGCUAAAGAUUCAUCGCUGAUAGAUAGGCAUGCGUUCCAUUAGGCAGUUGGCGGGGUAACGGCCCACCAAACCGACGAUGGAUAGGGGUUCUGAGAGGAAGGUCCCCCACAUUGGACUGAGACACGGCCAA
RNAcentral lists this ribosomal RNA (242 nucleotides) under uncultured bacterium. Its description in RNAcentral is "partial 16S ribosomal RNA". It matches the Rfam family "Bacterial small subunit ribosomal RNA", at positions 90 to 334 of the family's 1533-position model. The record is from RNAcentral.